UUCCGGUUGAUCCCGCCAGAGGUCACUGCUAUCGGUGUCCGAUUAAGCCAUGCGAGUCGAGAGGUGUAAGACCUCGGCAGACUGCUCAGUAACACGUGGAUAACCUGCCCAAGGGUCCGGGAUAACCCCGGGAAACUGGGGAUAAUACCGGAUGGGUCACCAGUGCUGGAAUGCUUGGUGGUCGAAAGGUGACGCCUUUGGAUGGGUCUGCGGCGGAUUAGGUUGACGCCGGUGUAACGUACCGGCGUGCCUGUAAUCCGUACGGGUUGUGGGAGCAAGAGCCCGGAGAUGGAUUCUGAGACACGAAUCCAGGCCCUACGGGGCGCAGCAGGCGCGAAAACUCUACAAUGCAGGCAACUGCGAUAGGGGGACAUCGAGUGGCAUCCACCUUGGGUGUCUGUCCAACCGUCUAAAAAACGGUUGUUAGCAAGGGCCGGGCAAGACCGGUGCCAGCCGCCGCGGUAAUAC
RNAcentral lists this ribosomal RNA (468 nucleotides) under uncultured Methanocella sp. RNAcentral's name for it is "bacterial SSU rRNA". It matches the Rfam family "Archaeal small subunit ribosomal RNA", at positions 1 to 476 of the family's 1478-position model. Lineage: Archaea; Methanobacteriati; Methanobacteriota; Methanomicrobia; Methanocellales; Methanocellaceae. The record is from RNAcentral.